Molecule: long non-coding RNA, 530 nt
Filed under: Ficedula albicollis (Collared flycatcher)
Lineage: Eukaryota; Metazoa; Chordata; Aves; Passeriformes; Muscicapidae
Description: lncRNA (ENSFALG00000027700.1)
Source: RNAcentral
CCCCCCCCCCCCCCCCCCCCCCCCCCCCCCCCCCCCCCCCCCCCCCCCCCCCCCCCCCCCCCCCCCCCCCCCCCCCCCCCCCCCCCCCCCCCCCCCCCCCCCCCCCCCCCCGGGGGCCCUGCCAGAGCCAUGCGGCCGAGCCGGGGCCGGGCCAGGGGCUCCCCGCAGAGCUGGUGCCGGGCCGAACGCCAGCGAGCCCGGACCGGGCCGGGGCCCCGGCCAGAGAGCACCGCACCUCCAGAGGCCGGAAGCAGAAAGACGAAAACACUGCAGAGCUCCCAGACUGCAGCAACGACAGCACAGUGGAGAGGAAGUUACUUGCACUUGCUCACCUGGACAAGCUUAGUUCUGCCCUUUUGCAAGUACUGACUGCCUUUAAGAGGCAUUCAUCUCCCUCUUGUCCAUCAAGCUUCCCUCUUCCUGGAGAGCAUGAGCUUCCUUCCAGCAAUUUAACCCCGAGUUCAAAUACCAGAGCAACUCAUGUCAAGAGAGUUUGUUCCCUCCAGGCUCAGAUCAGCUCCUCAGCUUGA